GGUUAACCGUAUAGGGGAGCCGGAGGGAAACCGAGUCUUAAUUGGGCGUUAAGUUGCAGGGUAUAGACCCGAAACCCGGUGAUCUAGCCAUGGGCAGGUUGAAGGUUGGGUAACACUAACUGGAGGACCGAACCGACUAAUGUUGAAAAAUUAGCGGAUGACCUGUGGCUGGGGGUGAAAGGCCAAUCAAACCGGGAGAUAGCUGGUUCUCCCCGAAAGCUAUUUAGGUAGCGCCUCGUGAAUUCAUCUCCGGGGGUAGAGCACUGUUUCGGCUAGGGGGCCAUCCCGGCUUACCAACCCGAUGCAAACUGCGAAUACCGGAGAAUGUUAUCACGGGAGACACACGGCGGGUGCUAACGUCCGUCGUGAAGAGGGAAACAACCCAGACCGCCAGCUAAGGUCCCAAAGUCAUGGUUAAGUGGGAAACGAUGUGGGAAGGCCCAGACAGCCAGGAUGUUGGCUUAGAAGCAGCCAUCAUUUAAAGAAAGCGUAAUAGCUCACUGGUCGAGUCGGCCUGCGCGGAAGAUGUAACGGGGCUAAACCAUGCACCGAAGCUGCGGCAGCGAACGUAUCACCCAAGACAACUUUGCGGAGUUGACGAUUGACGGAGCGAAGCGACGUCAAAGCGUUCAUUAAAGUCGAGUUGGCUUAGGGAUACGUUCGUUGGGUAGGGGAGCGUUCUGUAAGCCUGUGAAGG
RNAcentral lists this ribosomal RNA (697 nucleotides) under Salmonella enterica subsp. enterica serovar Hadar. RNAcentral's name for it is "partial 23S ribosomal RNA". It matches the Rfam family "Bacterial large subunit ribosomal RNA", at positions 644 to 1256 of the family's 2925-position model. Lineage: Bacteria; Pseudomonadati; Pseudomonadota; Gammaproteobacteria; Enterobacterales; Enterobacteriaceae. The record is from RNAcentral.